Molecule: unclassified non-coding RNA, 400 nt
Filed under: uncultured fungus
Lineage: Eukaryota; Fungi
Description: sequence contains ITS1
Rfam family: 5.8S ribosomal RNA (bases 1-105)
Source: RNAcentral
GAACUGCGAUAAGUGUGGUGAAUCGCAGAACACCGCGAACCAUGAAACCGUUGAACGCACACUGCAGCCUCAGGUCCGCCUGGGGUUACGUGUUGCUGAGUGUCGGCUCUAGCUUAAUGAUUGCACUCUUCCUUCACGGGAAACAGAGGGCUCUCGAUGUGUCGGUGUGGCUAGCAACCACUCCGGCUAAGUACAGGCAGCUCGUCUAUGGGUCAACACAUGGUCAAAGCAUGGCUACUCUUGAGGCUGUAUGGGAUUGGGUAUCAAUGCUUCUCGGUAGAUCACCUUGCUGCGAUCGAUCCUUCGACUGCUAACCAUAAGCUGAACGCUUCCAGAGGGACUUCAUGUUCGAUCUUAACAGAGAGAUAGUCGUCUCCGCCCACUGACCUCAGCAAUACGA